Molecule: long non-coding RNA, 331 nt
Organism: Melitaea cinxia (Glanville fritillary)
Lineage: Eukaryota; Metazoa; Arthropoda; Insecta; Lepidoptera; Nymphalidae
Exons: 2
Source: RefSeq, a predicted model, not a curated record
UGCCACUGGACCUUCCCUACUAUUACAAUGUACUCUGUAACCAUGGAUAUCUCCAUAACCAUGGGGUUUCGAAGUGUUGCGGUGUUACCUUGUAUAGCUUCCCCUACACCCUCCGCCCUCCACACCCAAAAACCCAAAAAUUCGGUUUUUCCUACUCUUGAGCUUAGCCUGUAAACGUGCGGAACUGCGUAUCACACGAGAAGGAACUCACUUUGAACAUUUGUUAAGGUGUGCUGACUACAUACAAUCACUGCAUGCUAAGAAAACAUGUCUGCAAUGCAAUGCCAUCACCACCACACACCAUGUGAAACGAAUAUACAUGUGAAACAUA